GGAGUUAGCCGAUGCUUAUUCUUCAGGUACACGUCAUUUAUUCCUCCCUGAAAAAAGAGGUUUACAACCCAUAGGCAGUCUUCCCUCACGCUGUAUUGCUCCGUCAGGCUUUCGCCCAUUGCGGAAAAUUCCC
RNAcentral lists this ribosomal RNA (133 nucleotides) under uncultured bacterium. Its description in RNAcentral is "partial 16S ribosomal RNA". The record is from RNAcentral.